AUAAGCCUUAUUCAGAGAGAUCAAGAGAGAAAAGAAAGCAGCUAAACAUAGUUCUGACAAGUUUGUUACUGUGGCUGACAAAGGAAGCUAUGUGCAGAAAAUGAAUCACUUGGAUGGAGGAUUCUCAUUUCCCCCUCCUAGAGAUGGAGAGUUAGUUCAGACAAGCUCGAGUAAGUCUUUAUGGUCAAACAAGUGCAACACUGUUGUCAGUGAUGAAGCUGAUGAUUCUCUGAUGGCAAGUGAUGACAUGCUUGCUCCGUGGAGACGCAAAAGCAGCGAGUCUUCACCUGUCAAGAGCUCAAGAGAUGAAAGCAAUGCACACGUCGCAGGAUCAGAAAAUUCUAGCCCUUCUUCUCUUUCAAACUAUGGCUAUGCUGAACGGGAGCAUGUGAAGAAAGAAGAGACAAAAAUAGCCAGUGCAAGAGAAGAAGACGUAGGGGCGUCACUGGAGGAUGAGGAAGCAACAGCCGUACAGGAGCAAGUAAGGCAGAUCAAGGCACAGGAGGAGGAAUUCGAAACCUUUGAUCUAAAGAUUGUGCAUAGGAAAAACAGAACUGGCUUUGAGGAG
This 568-nucleotide unclassified non-coding RNA is filed under the name Hevea brasiliensis (rubber tree). Lineage: Eukaryota; Viridiplantae; Streptophyta; Magnoliopsida; Malpighiales; Euphorbiaceae. The record is from RNAcentral.